UACGGGAGGCAGCAGUGGGGAAUAUUGCACAAUGGGCGAAAGCCUGAUGCAGCUAUGCCGCGUGUAUGAAGAAGGCCUUAGGGUUGUAAAGUACUUUCAUCGGGGAGGAAAAAACAAAACUAAUAAUUUUAUUUCUUGACGUUACCCGAAAAAGAAGCACCGGCUAACUCCGUGCCAGCAGCCGCGGUAAUACGGAGGGUGCUAGCGUUAAUCAGAAUUACUGGGCGUAAAGAGCACGUAGGUGGUUUUUUUAAGUCAGAUGUGAAAUCCCUGGGCUUAACCUAGGAACUGCAUUUUGAAACUGAAAUACUAGAGUAUCGUAGAGGGAGGUAGAAUUCUAGGUGUAGCGGUGAAAUGCGUAGAUAUCUGGAGGAAUACCUGUGGCGAAAGCGGCCUCCUAAACGAAUACUGACACUGAGGUGCGAAAGCAUGGGGAGCAAACAGGGAUUAGAUACCCGU
Molecule: ribosomal RNA, 459 nt
Filed under: uncultured bacterium
Lineage: Bacteria
Description: bacterial SSU rRNA
Rfam family: Bacterial small subunit ribosomal RNA
Source: RNAcentral